RNAcentral lists this ribosomal RNA (491 nucleotides) under uncultured bacterium. RNAcentral's name for it is "partial 16S ribosomal RNA". It matches the Rfam family "Bacterial small subunit ribosomal RNA", at positions 29 to 507 of the family's 1533-position model. The record is from RNAcentral.
AGUGAACGCUGGCGGUAGGCCUAACACAUGCAAGUCGAACGGCAGCACAGUAAGAGCUUGCUCUUACGGGUGGCGAGUGGCGGACGGGUGAGGAAUACAUCGGAAUCUACUUUUUCGUGGGGGAUAACGUAGGGAAACUUACGCUAAUACCGCAUACGACCUACGGGUGAAAGCAGGGGAUCUUCGGACCUUGCGCGAUUGAAUGAGCCGAUGUCGGAUUAGCUAGUUGGCGGGGUAAAGGCCCACCAAGGCGACGAUCCGUAGCUGGUCUGAGAGGAUGAUCAGCCACACUGGAACUGAGACACGGUCCAGACUCCUACGGGAGGCAGCAGUGGGGAAUAUUGGACAAUGGCGCAAGCCUGAUCCAGCCAUACCGCGUGGGUGAAGAAGGCCUUCGAGUUGUAAAGCCCUUUUGUUGGGAAAGAAAAGCAGCAGGUUAAUACCCCGCUGUUCUGACGGUACCCAAAGAAUAAGCACCGGCUAACUUCGUG